GCCGAUGUGGCGAAAUGGCAGACGCAACGGACUUAAAAUCCGUUCUCGCGAAAAGCGAGGUAUGGGUUCGAAUCCCAUCAUCGGCACCU
This 89-nucleotide transfer RNA is filed under the name Verrucomicrobiota bacterium. RNAcentral describes it as "Verrucomicrobia bacterium tRNA-Leu". It matches the Rfam family "tRNA". Rfam says of the family: Transfer RNA (tRNA) molecules are approximately 80 nucleotides in length. Their secondary structure includes four short double-helical elements and three loops (D, anti-codon, and T loops). Further hydrogen bonds mediate the characteristic L-shaped molecular structure. tRNAs have two regions of fundamental functional importance: the anti-codon, which is responsible for specific mRNA codon recognition, and the 3' end, to which the tRNAs corresponding amino acid is attached (by aminoacyl-tRNA synthetases). tRNAs cope with the degeneracy of the genetic code in two manners: having more than one tRNA (with a specific anti-codon) for a particular amino acid; and 'wobble' base-pairing, i.e. permitting non-standard base-pairing at the 3rd anti-codon position. The record is from RNAcentral. Lineage: Bacteria; Pseudomonadati; Verrucomicrobiota.